Molecule: transfer RNA, 73 nt
Filed under: Stegodyphus mimosarum
Lineage: Eukaryota; Metazoa; Arthropoda; Arachnida; Araneae; Eresidae
Rfam family: tRNA
About the family: Transfer RNA (tRNA) molecules are approximately 80 nucleotides in length. Their secondary structure includes four short double-helical elements and three loops (D, anti-codon, and T loops).
Source: Rfam by way of RNAcentral
GCCUUCAUGGUGUAGUUGUCAGCACGCUCGGCUCAUAUUCGCGAGGUUCGUGGUUCGAGUCUCGGCGAGGGCA